GGAUGCCACCGAUCCAGAAGAUCCAAACAAAGGUCUUAAACAAAUGGCCAGAUUCAGUGCUGAAAGCAACACC
This is a non-coding RNA of Pangasianodon gigas (Mekong giant catfish), 73 nucleotides long. The record is from the annotation of a GenBank genome assembly. Lineage: Eukaryota; Metazoa; Chordata; Actinopteri; Siluriformes; Pangasiidae.